AGUGAACGCUGGCGGUAGGCCUAACACAUGCAAGUCGAACGGCAGCACAGUAAGAGCUUGCUCUUACGGGUGGCGAGUGGCGGACGGGUGAGGAAUACAUCGGAAUCUACUUUUUCGUGGGGGAUAACGUAGGGAAACUUACGCUAAUACCGCAUACGACCUACGGGUGAAAGCAGGGGAUCUUCGGACCUUGCGCGAUUGAAUGAGCCGAUGUCGGAUUAGCUAGUUGGCGGGGUAAAGGCCCACCAAGGCGACGAUCCGUAGCUGGUCGGAGAGGAUGAUCAGCCACACUGGAACUGAGACACGGUCCAGACUCCUACGGGAGGCAGCAGUGGGGAAUAUUGGACAAUGGGCGCAAGCCUGAUCCAGCCAUACCGCGUGGGUGAAGGAGGCCUUCGGGUUGUAAAGCCCUUUUGUUGGGAAAGAAAAGCAGCAGGUUAAUACCCCGCUGUUCUGACGGUACCCAAAGAAUAAGCACCGGCUAACUUCGUG
This 492-nucleotide ribosomal RNA is filed under the name uncultured bacterium. Its description in RNAcentral is "partial 16S ribosomal RNA". It matches the Rfam family "Bacterial small subunit ribosomal RNA", at positions 29 to 507 of the family's 1533-position model. The record is from RNAcentral.